This 343-nucleotide small RNA is filed under the name Histoplasma capsulatum. RNAcentral describes it as "hypothetical RNA". The record is from RNAcentral. RNAcentral also lists the same sequence under 1 other name. Lineage: Eukaryota; Fungi; Ascomycota; Eurotiomycetes; Onygenales; Ajellomycetaceae.
GAAUUCGUCGACCGGGAGUGGCAGGACUUGUUCCUGAAGUUCUUAAGUUAGCUUAGCUAGCUUAUCAGUUGGCGUGCUGCUCAAAAGCCCCCCGGCGGGAGAGGUGCCAACCGCCCCAUUAGGUCCUCAGAUCAUGCCAGCGGCCAAGAAAAUAAAUGACGGCUGAGCCCAGCGCCGUCCGUGCCGCGCCUAUGUUCCUUGCGGUGUUCUCGAAAAGUCUGAAAUCUUACUCCUCUAGCGCCUAAAAUAGCGGAGACCGGGGUUGUAAUUAUACCGCAACCCUGAAAUAACACUCUUGAGUUCACCUCUAUGAGGACGCAACUAAGCGAAACAAGUAACGGCA